UUUCCAUUUAAACUCCAACACGUUACAGACUUUAACGCGAAUGUCAUUGCGAAAGUUCACUAAUUGAAUAAUUACCUGUGCCGUCUGAGGAAGGGGUGGUGGAGGCGACUAUAUAAAUCGUUUGUGUUUUAAUGUUAGCACAUCACGCCUGAAGAAAGACGACGUCAAACACCAAAGAAGCGUCAUUACAGGCUUUAAAGAUAUGUGGGAGGAAUGAUAUACUCGUAGAUUCGAAGUCUCCUUUGUCUUCAAUUCUCUUAUGGUACAAGUCCAGCACGCGUCGCACAAUCACGGUUGUGGAACCAUACCAGAAAGAAAUACCGCUUUGAAUAAUAACUUCUGGCAGAGCUAGCAUCAAAAUGACACCAACAAAAACAUAUCCCAUAAAAGCAAACUGCGACAUAAUACAUUUUUGAAACCAGACCCCAGAAUUUUGAAUUUGUAACAACAAAUCUUAGGACUUAUAUCUCAAGGUGGGUGGCGCAUUUACGUUGUGGAUGUCUAUGGGCUCCAGUCACCACUUAACACCAGCACUGCACUCGGCGAGUUUGCUUGCCCCUCCAUGCAACGGCCGAGGGCCAAUGCGCCCGCGCACGCUUCUAAUGACAGCGAGGGGGCCGGGGCAGCGGGGAGGGGAACGACCGGUCGCAACCGCAGUAGAUAGCAAUCAAUCGCAACCGGAAGAUAGCACAAGCGGCUCUCACCUUUAUUCUUUUUUUUUUAUUACGUACUCGUGUACUCAACAAAAUCGAUCUUCUGUAAAGCAGAAAAACAUAAAAUCUAAACCCUAUAAUUGUUUGAGAACCAAAUUGGAUUUGCAUUAAUUAACGAAUGGCAUUCAAAUUAUUAAACAAUUUUUUUUGUCAGAAA
Long non-coding RNA from Bombyx mori (domestic silkworm), 870 nucleotides. RefSeq lists it as uncharacterized. NCBI's taxonomy places the organism in Eukaryota, Metazoa, Arthropoda, Insecta, Lepidoptera, Bombycidae. The record is from RefSeq and is a predicted model, not a curated record. The transcript is spliced from 5 exons.